This 27-nucleotide small RNA is filed under the name Bombyx mori (domestic silkworm). RNAcentral describes it as "ovarian small RNA-14922". Lineage: Eukaryota; Metazoa; Arthropoda; Insecta; Lepidoptera; Bombycidae. The record is from RNAcentral.
CUGCUUAAAAUUGUACCCAAGGAAGAA